RNAcentral lists this ribosomal RNA (863 nucleotides) under Cephalosporium sp. BRO-2013. RNAcentral's name for it is "LSU rRNA". It matches the Rfam family "Eukaryotic large subunit ribosomal RNA", at positions 63 to 944 of the family's 3401-position model. Lineage: Eukaryota; Fungi; Ascomycota; Sordariomycetes; Hypocreales. The record is from RNAcentral.
AACCACAGGGAUUACCUCAGUAACGGCGAGUGAAGCGGUAACAGCUCAAAUUUGAAAGCUCGCUCUUUUAGGGUGCGCAUUGUAAUUUGUAGAAGAUGCUUCGGGUGUGGCCCCGGUCUAAGUUCCUUGGAACAGGACGUCAUAGAGGGUGAGAAUCCCGUAUGUGACUGGGUGCUUUCGCUCAUGUGAAGCUCUUUCGACGAGUCGAGUUGUUUGGGAAUGCAGCUCAAAAUGGGUGGUAAAUUUCAUCUAAAGCUAAAUAUUGGCCAGAGACCGAUAGCGCACAAGUAGAGUGAUCGAAAGAUGAAAAGCACUUUGGAAAGAGAGUUAAACAGUACGUGAAAUUGUUGAAAGGGAAGCGCUUGCAACCAGACUUGCGCGCUGAUGAUCAUCCGGGCUUCUGUCCGGUGCACUCGUCUGCGCUCAGGCCAGCAUCGGUUUCGGUGGUGGGAUAAAGGCCUUGGGAAUGUAGCUUCUUUCGGGGAGUGUUAUAGCCCUCGGUGCAAUGCCGCCUACCGGGACCGAGGACCGCGCUUCGGCUAGGAUGCUGGCGUAAUGGUUGUAAGCGACCCGUCUUGAAACACGGACCAAGGAGUCUAACAUCUAUGCGAGUGUUUGGGUGUCAAACCCAUACGCGUAAUGAAAGUGAACGGAGGUGAGAACCCUUAAGGGUGCAUCAUCGACCGAUCCUGAUGUCUUCGGAUGGAUUUGAGUAAGAGCAUAGCUGUUGGGACCCGAAAGAUGGUGAACUAUGCGUGAAUAGGGUGAAGCCAGAGGAAACUCUGGUGGAGGCUCGCAGCGGUUCUGACGUGCAAAUCGAUCGUCAAAUUUGCGUAUAGGGGCGAAAGACUAAUCGAACCAUC